Molecule: ribosomal RNA, 429 nt
Filed under: Gemmatimonadota bacterium
Lineage: Bacteria; Pseudomonadati; Gemmatimonadota
Description: Gemmatimonadetes bacterium partial 16S ribosomal RNA
Rfam family: Bacterial small subunit ribosomal RNA
Source: RNAcentral
UAGGGAAUCUUCUGCAAUGGACGAAAGUCUGACCGAGCAACGCCGCGUGAGUGAAGAAGGUUUUCGGAUCGUAAAACUCUGUUGUUUGAGAAGAACAAGGACGUUAGUAACUGAACGUCCCCUGACGGUAUCUAACCAGAAAGCCACGGCUAACUACGUGCCAGCAGCCGCGGUAAUACGUAGGUGGCAAGCGUUGUCCGGAUUUAUUGGGCGUAAAGCGAGCGCAGGCGGUUUCUUAAGUCUGAAGUGAAAGCCCCCGGCUCAACCGGGGAGGGUCAUUAGAAACUGGGAGACUUGAGUGCAGAAGAGGAGAGUGGAAUUCCAUGUGGAGCGGUGAAAUGCGUAGAUAUAUGGAGGAACACCAGUGGCGAAGGCGGCUCUCUGGUCUGUAACUGACGCUGAGGCUCGAAAGCGUGGGGAGCAAACAGG